GACGAACGCUGGCGGCGUGCUUAACACAUGCAAGUCGAACGAAGAGCGAUGGAAGCUUGCUUCUAUCAAUCUUAGUGGCGAACGGGUGAGUAACGCGUAAUCAACCUGCCCUUCAGAGGGGGACAACAGUUGGAAACGACUGCUAAUACCGCAUACGAUCUGACCUCGGCAUCGAGGAUAGAUGAAAGGUGGCCUCUACAUGUAAGCUAUCACUGAAGGAGGGGAUUGCGUCUGAUUAGCUAGUUGGGGGGGUAACGGCCCACCAAGGCGAUGAUCAGUAGCCGGUCUGAGAGGAUGAACGGCCACAAUGGGACUGAGACACGGCCCAGACCUCUACGGGAGGCAGCAGUGGGGAAUCUUCCGCAAUGGACGAAAGUCUGACGGAGCAACGCCGCGGGAGGGAUGACGGCCCUCGGGUUGUAAAGCUCUGUUAAUCGGGACGAAAGGCCUUUUUGCGAAUAGUGAGAAGGAUUGACGGUACCGGAAUAGAAAGCCACGGCUAACUACGUG
This 510-nucleotide ribosomal RNA is filed under the name uncultured bacterium. RNAcentral describes it as "partial 16S ribosomal RNA". It matches the Rfam family "Bacterial small subunit ribosomal RNA", at positions 28 to 507 of the family's 1533-position model. The record is from RNAcentral.